CUACGGGGUGCUCCAGUUAGGAAUAAUCUACAAUGCGCGAAAGCGUGAUAGUUUGAGCCAGAGUGUUUUUCAAUUGAAAGACUUUUGUGAAAUGUAAAAAGUUUCACGAAUAAGGACUGGGUAAGACUAGUGCCAGCCGCCGCGGUAAUACUAGCGGUCCAAGUCGCAACCAUUUUUAUUGGGUCUAAAACAUCCGUAGCUUGCUUGACAAGUCUUCUGUGAAAUUUUACGUCUAAAACGUAGAGCGCGCAGAAGGUACUAUCAAGCUCGAGACCGGAAGACGUAAGAAGUACAUUCAGAGUAGCGGUUAAAUGUGUUAAUCCUGGAUGGACUAACAAGAGCGAAGGCAUCUUACGAGGACGGUUCUGACAGUAAGGGAUGAAAGCUAGGGGCGCAAAUGGGAUUAGAUACCCGCGUAGUC
RNAcentral lists this ribosomal RNA (421 nucleotides) under uncultured archaeon. Its description in RNAcentral is "partial 16S ribosomal RNA". It matches the Rfam family "Archaeal small subunit ribosomal RNA", at positions 323 to 746 of the family's 1478-position model. The record is from RNAcentral.